CUGUGCAAAUAUGAGGCUCUUGAUUUGCGUUUUGCUUUGCGCUCUUGCUUUGGACGCAGUGUUUGCUUACACGGUCAAAGAGAAGACAAUAGCUCGUUUUGCAGUUAGAAAACUUGGACGUGGGUAUCAUUUGGUGAAGAUCGAGAGCGUGCAAAGACAAGUAGUACAGGGAACAAUGUAUCACGUUAGAGUAAAGGUCAAAUACCAAAUACCUGGUGGGAUUGGGCGGACGUAUCAUUGCUAUAUGAAGGUUUGGGAACGAUUAAGCGGAUGGAAGACAGUUGAACACUCCAACUGCAACUAAUGACCGCAUGAUCGUGCCUGUUUUAAGAGCAAAGUAGAAACCGCGAGAGAUUACAAGAUAUUUCGAACUUGUAUUGUACUAGAUGCAUUGUGACGCUGUUUUGAUCUGUAUCAAAGUCAUACUCAAUAAAAUAUCGUUAAAGUACU
This is a long non-coding RNA of Mercenaria mercenaria, 450 nucleotides long. RefSeq lists it as uncharacterized. The record is from RefSeq and is a predicted model, not a curated record. The transcript is spliced from 4 exons. NCBI's taxonomy places the organism in Eukaryota, Metazoa, Mollusca, Bivalvia, Venerida, Veneridae.